GUAGUAGUUUAGUGGUUGGAGUAUCAGUCUCCAACUCUAAGGUACUAGGUUCGAAUCUUGCCAGAAACA
Molecule: non-coding RNA, 69 nt
Organism: Sphenostylis stenocarpa
Lineage: Eukaryota; Viridiplantae; Streptophyta; Magnoliopsida; Fabales; Fabaceae
Source: the annotation of a GenBank genome assembly